Molecule: ribosomal RNA, 253 nt
Filed under: uncultured bacterium
Lineage: Bacteria
Description: partial 16S ribosomal RNA
Rfam family: Bacterial small subunit ribosomal RNA
Source: RNAcentral
UACGUAGGCAGCAAGCGUUGUUCGGAGUUACUGGGCGUAAAGAGUGCGUAGGCGGUUCUCUAAGUUCGGUGUGAAAUCUCCCGGCUCAACUGGGAGGGUGCGCCGAAGACUGGGGGGCUUGAGUGUGGGAGAGGUAAGCGGAAUUCCUGGUGUAGCGGUGAAAUGCGUAGAUAUCAGGAGGAACACCUGCGGUGUAGACGGCUUACUGGACCAUAACUGACGCUGAGGCACGAAAGCGUGGGUAGCAAACAGG